Molecule: transfer RNA, 69 nt
Filed under: Pedetes capensis (springhare)
Lineage: Eukaryota; Metazoa; Chordata; Mammalia; Rodentia; Pedetidae
Description: partial tRNA-Ser
Rfam family: tRNA
About the family: Transfer RNA (tRNA) molecules are approximately 80 nucleotides in length. Their secondary structure includes four short double-helical elements and three loops (D, anti-codon, and T loops).
Source: RNAcentral
AAGAAAGACAUAGAGGCUAUGAGGCUGGCUUGAAACCGGUUUUAGGGGGUUCGACUCCUCCCUUUCUUA